RNAcentral lists this long non-coding RNA (1554 nucleotides) under Ornithorhynchus anatinus (platypus). RNAcentral describes it as "lncRNA (ENSOANG00000036211.1)". Lineage: Eukaryota; Metazoa; Chordata; Mammalia; Monotremata; Ornithorhynchidae. The record is from RNAcentral.
AUGGAAACUAAGCUCUUCGAAGAGAGGCCGCGCCCCGCCGAGAGCGGGGGGACAUCGAGGGAGACAAAGCCCGAAGGAGCAGAUGCCAGAUUUCGCGGGCCCGCCUCUCAGCCUGCCACUGACUCCCAUCCGGGGACCUGUUCAGCUGGGAAUAGCGAGACCCCCUCGGUGCUGGUCAGAGGGUCGGGAAACAGUAGUCCCCUCGGUGGGGCGUCCCCCCGCUCCCUUUCGGUCAGAGCUGUGGAUUCUCUCCACCUUUCCCCUUGGGAGAGAAACCUCGCCACGCUUCUUCCAAGCGAACGCCCCAGGGAGACCCCAGAAAGGGGCCCUCAGACCCACAUCAUCCGACAAGAACCCAGCACAAUCGUUUUUGCCAACUACGAGUUUUUAUCCCCUGCCGUCGAUUCUGUGCUCCGCGGCCCAGAGGUCCCGGACGCCGAAGCCUCUUCAUAUGAGUCCGGGGAGGAGGAGGAGGGAGAAGAGGGUGACGAAGAUGUUUUCACCCAGCCAUCCCUUCGCGAGCCGUUUGUCCACGGCCUUCUCCCGAGCAUCAUUCCCGCAGACCAGCCAGAGGCAUGUGAAUUCCCCGAGGAGGGGGAUGUUUGUCUUACACCGAGCCCCCCGGGGCGUUGGGAGAGAGAACCUAAUGAACGGGCGACGGGAGAGAAGCAGAUCCACAAAGCGGGCCCAUCACGCAAACGGAGCAGAGAGCGAGCAGGUAAGCCAGAUGGGGCCGUAUAUUUCUUCUUAGGAGAGCUUAGUUUUGAGCAAUGAAUGCAUAAUUUACCCGUUGGGUAUCAGUGGAAAUUGGUAUUCUAGAUGCUAUCCUUGACCUUCAGUUGACAUGAAAGCCAACCUGCUCUUUAUGCUCUGUGGGCUUUCAAUAUAUGGGCGUUCUCAUUGGGGAAAGUGAGAAUUUCUUUUUCUUUGGGGGUUUGCUUUUUAAAAACUGGCUCAUUGAAUGUGAAUUUUUUCUAAAACUUGUCCACAGGAACCUGCUGUGUUAGUUCCUUUACUGUCAGGCUCAAGGUGCAGUUAUCAUUGGCCUGUUUGUUGAGGAGAGUUUGUUUUUAAUCUUCCGCUGUCACCUGUAGAAAGGUGUACUGUGGUCCCCAUCCGGUUUAUAAAUCCAAAUGACUGCCAGUGCAGAAGUUCAGUGGUUCUGCUGUCCUUUUGUAGAGGUGAUUGAACCUUCAGUUUCAUUUAUUCGGUUGCCACUGCUUGUGAGGAUCUUUCUGCUUAUUAGAGUGUCAGUUCCUUGCGGGCAGGGAAUGUGUUUUGUGGUUCUAUUGUAUUUCUCAAACACCUUACUAUAGUGUAUUUUCCUCAGUAAAUAUCUUUGCUGCUGCCAUUCCUCCUCUUCCUCCUCCUCCUCCUCCUCCUCCUCCUUCCAAACUGACCCUUCCACUUUUUCCAAAGAUUGCCUUAUCUUAAAAAAAACAGGUAAGCAAAACCUUUCGGCUCUCAAUGUUGCUGCUACCCAGGACCAUCAGACAAAGGUGCUUGUUUAACACAAAUAGCUGGAAUCCUGUUGUGAAAGCGGAUGUCUUCAUU